UUACCGAAAACAUACUGGUGGCUAAACAGUCUAAACGAAGCGAGACCCACGUCGCACGCCCGAGCGUUCUCGGUGUACGCGUUCGAGGUUCUAACCCCGUGAAAGAAAUUUGCGUUAUGCGAAGUCGGGCGAGGGGCGCCUCGCCGAGCGUGCGCGUUUUUUUGCGCGCGCGCUCCAAUCAAAGCGUACCCACUUUCAACCCCACUAAACUCUGAAUCUGAACUAAAAAGGGGGUGGUAAGUCGCCUUCACCGGCGCGCGCCCCCUCAACCUUUAACGUUGUAAAACUUUCAGCGACGGAUGUCUUGGCUCCCACAACGAUGAAGAACGCAGCGAAAUGCGAUACGUCUUGCGACUUGCAGAAUCCAGUGAAUCAUCAAAACUUUGAACGCAUCUUGCGCUUCCGGGAUAUUCCUGGGAGCAUGCUUGUUGGAGUGUCUGUUGACACCACUCGCCGCCCCCCCCCGUUGCUCGCGCGACGGGAGGUUGCGCGCGGACUCUGCGUGUUCCGGACGAACGUCCGAGUGCACCGAACUUCGUGAACGAAACUUCUACUGCCUUGCCGCACAGAGUUGUUGACGGCGUCCGCUUCGGCGGCGACUCUCGACUCGUUUAUUGCUCCAGGUCUAUCGGUAGGGGUGGUUCCGGUUGCUGCGCCCCCGCCACUUGUUAAAGUGGCGCGGAGGUCCCCCAACUACUUUCGUUCGGACCUCCAAUCAAGCAAGAGGACCCGCUGAAUUUAAGCAUAUAACUAAGCGGAGGAAAAGAAACUAACCAG
Molecule: unclassified non-coding RNA, 777 nt
Filed under: Chorda asiatica
Lineage: Eukaryota; Phaeophyceae; Laminariales; Chordaceae
Description: sequence contains ITS1, 5.8S rRNA gene and ITS2
Rfam family: 5.8S ribosomal RNA (bases 285-439)
Source: RNAcentral